This 317-nucleotide ribosomal RNA is filed under the name uncultured soil bacterium. Its description in RNAcentral is "bacterial SSU rRNA". It matches the Rfam family "Bacterial small subunit ribosomal RNA", at positions 26 to 370 of the family's 1533-position model. The record is from RNAcentral.
AGAACGAACGCUGGCGGCAUGCCUAAUACAUGCAAGUCGAACGAACUCUUCGGAGUUAGUGGCGCACGGGUGCGUAACGCGUGGGAAUCUGCCCCUUGGUUCGGAAUAACAGUUGGAAACGACUGCUAAUACCGGAUGAUGACGAAAGUCCAAAGAUUUAUCGCCAAGGGAUGAGCCCGCGUAGGAUUAGCUAGUUGGUGAGGUAAAGGCUCACCAAGGCAACGAUCCUUAGCUGGUCUGAGAGGAUGAUCAGCCACACGUGGGACUGAGACACGGCCCAGACUCCGUACGGGAGCAGCAGUAGGGAAUAGUUGGAC